GGGCCACCGUUUGUUGAGUGCAAAUAUGGGAUGACUGUUUUUGCCGGCUUCACUGUCGGCUUAUAAGGGUUAUCAAAUAUCACUUUGAUUAAAUUAGAGUGGCUCAAAGCAAGGUGGGGUUACUUGGAUAAUAAAUGCAUGGAAUGAUGGGAAUACGUUGGUUGUUCUAUUUUGGUCGGUUUUUGAACGAUGAAAUGAUUGAAAGGAACCGUUGGGGGCAUUCGUAUUGUUGUGAGAGAGGUGAAAUUCUUAGACCACAGCAAGACGAACUACUGCGAAAGCAUUUGCCAAGAAUGUUUUCAUUGAUCAAGAACGAAAGUUAGAGGUUCGAAGGCGAUCAGAUACCGCCCUAGUUCUAACCAUAAACUAUGCCAACUAGCAAUCUGCUUAUAUAUGUUCUAUGAUUAAGUAGGCGGCCACGGGAAACCAAAGUAGGGUUAUGGGGGAAGUAUGGUUGCAAAGCUGAAACUUAAAGGAAUUGACGGAAGGGCACCACCAGGAGUGGAGCCUGCGGCUUAAUUUGACUCAACACGGGAAAACUUACCUGGUCCUGACACUAGAAGGAUUGACAGAUUGAUAGCUCUUUCUUGAUUUGGUGGAUGGUGGUGCAUGGCCGUUCUUAGUUGGUGGAGUGAUUUGUCUGGUUAAUUCCGAUAACGAACGAGACUCUAGCCUAUUAAAUAACACACAGAAUCUUGUCUUCUGUGGUGUUUCUUAAUGGGAUCAAGUG
This 730-nucleotide ribosomal RNA is filed under the name uncultured eukaryote. Its description in RNAcentral is "bacterial SSU rRNA". It matches the Rfam family "Eukaryotic small subunit ribosomal RNA", at positions 673 to 1426 of the family's 1831-position model. The record is from RNAcentral.